RNAcentral lists this unclassified non-coding RNA (339 nucleotides) under soil metagenome. RNAcentral describes it as "partial contains 5.8S ribosomal RNA, internal transcribed spacer 2, and large subunit ribosomal RNA". The stretch from base 1 to 121 matches the Rfam family "5.8S ribosomal RNA", at positions 35 to 154 of the family's 154-position model. The record is from RNAcentral.
GAUGAAGGAACGUAGCGAAAUGCGAUAAGUAAUGUGAAUUGCAGAAUUCAGUGAAUCAUCGAAUCUUUGAACGCACAUUGCGCCCGGCAGUACUCUGCCGGGCAUGCCUGUUCGAGCGUCAUUUCAACCCUCAAGCCCUGCUUGGUGUUGGGGUCCCACGGCCGCCGUGGGCCCUGAAAGGAAGUGGCGGGCUCGCUACAACUCCGAGCGUAGUAAUUCAUUAUCUCGCUUAGGGCGUUGGGCGGCGCUCCUGCCGUUAAAGAACCAUCUUUAACUCAAGGUUGACCUCGGAUCAGGUAGGAAUACCCGCUGAACUUAAGCAUAUCAAUAAGCGGAGGA